CUGGCACCUCUGACAUUUAUUUCUAUAAUUCAUUGCUUGUUUUCAUUUUUUUUUUCAUUUUUGCUUGUGCCUCUAAGUGCCUUUUUCUAACAUGGCGGCAGCGAGCAGGCAUCAGCCACACCGGAGCGCGGCCAUCCACGGUGCUAUCAUCUCUCCUCCUCGGCCCAAUCGAGAUAGCUCGAGUUGCACGCUGGGAAGAUUUUAAGCGGGAGCGGGAGGCUCGGAGCCGGCGGGAGUGGUUAGCGCGCUGUCGUCCUGUCGUUGUUGUCGUUCUGAGACGGCCAUUAUAUUUGACUUGUUUGGAUACCAUCCGAUCACCAUUGUGUGCUGCCACCACUUGUAGCCUGCAGUAGUUAUUACCGCUUCUACUGGGAACUUGCGCCAUCCGCUGCACCCUCAUGCCUUUGUGCAGCAGAGACCCUUUCGGUGUGUUGCGCGGUCGCUGCAACGAGCCGGGUUGUGAGUGCAAGCGAUACACCAUUCUGCGCCUGUCGGAAAGUGACAACCUGGUGAGGUGUGACUAUUGUGACCACGUCCCAAAUGCACACGGAAAAAUAUGUGAUCUCGAAACGAAAAAUGCAGCCGAGGCAAAGGUGCAAUGCAAUGUGCCAGGCACCGCUGUUCGAGGCCUCAGUGUCACAUGAAACUGUGGAAGCUUGCACAUCUAGUCUCCUCAGUGCAAUAUGAGAGGACUGUCCCAGUUGGUGCCUCCAUAGAAAAUGAAUCGGCCUGAAUGCCUGUGCAAGAAUCACAACCUGGCUGCUCUAAAGACUCCGCACCGUAGUCCCAUGUGCAAGAGCCCCCACUUGACAGCCCAGUGGUUGCCAUGGACAAAGAGAUCCGCGAUACUGAAUGCGGCCAAGCAGUACAAGUUUUUACAUGGACAGUUAACACGAAGUUAUUGACGACAUGCAUGGCUGAAACACGGUGAUAUGAUUUUAAAAAUUCCUGUGUUAUGAUGCAAGUGAUAGUAUUCUGUUGAAUUUUCAGAUCUAGUCAUGUGCCAGCAAGGCCUGCUGUACUUCUGGUGUAUUCUAUGUUGUAUUUUCAAAUAAAGAUGUUGCAUUCUGAAGUUAACCUUAUACUGCCUGUGGAACUGUCAAUUUAUACUCAGAUUAUUUAUACAAGCUAACGGCGCCUCCUCCUCAGGCGUUCAAAUUGUGUUUUGAACUGUAUUUUUGAGAACAUUACCGUUACAUAUUUGCUCAAAAGGUGCCGCACGGGGAGUUUCAUUUCGUCAGAAAUCCCAAGGGAUACAGUAUAGUAGUAUCAUGGUAGCCCUUCGUUGGCUGAAAUACAACGAUUUAAGUGAUUUAAAUGAAAGUAAACUUUUGACACCACAUUCAGUUGAGCGUUCCUUUUUUUUUCAGAGAAUUUCAUGUGGGCCCCGCUCUUUACAUGGUCCGACGAGCCCGGUGCGGCCUAGCAACGGGGAGGCGCCACCUUGGGUUUUGUUCCAGAAAGGCCAAAUCUCCGCAUGGUGCACCGAGUCGGCUGCCGCCAAACAACAGAGGUUCAGAGAGACACAGCGACACCCUUUGUUCCGAAAACCGCACGAGGUGGACACGUGAACUAUUUCGAAGCGCAAGCGCAUGUAAAGGCAGCGUCCGGAAAGGACUGGCCGAGGGGCUUCCUCCGCGAAGGCUCACAUUUCUCCGCGCCCGGUUGUAGACUGCUUAAUCCGGCCGCGGAAAGAAGCGCGCAAGAAAGAAGAGGCGCAAGCAGAAAGAAGCGCGAAAGAAGGAAGAGACGCACCUUUGUUGCUAGGCGACAACUGCCUUGGCGGAGCAUGCGCAGAGCAACGGGCUUUUAUGAAACAUACCGCAGAAAGAAGAGCCGCGUCCCCGUUGCUAGG
Dermacentor albipictus is the source of this 1855-nucleotide long non-coding RNA. RefSeq lists it as uncharacterized. Lineage: Eukaryota; Metazoa; Arthropoda; Arachnida; Ixodida; Ixodidae. The record is from RefSeq and is a predicted model, not a curated record.